This is a non-coding RNA of Dicentrarchus labrax (European seabass), 1001 nucleotides long. NCBI's taxonomy places the organism in Eukaryota, Metazoa, Chordata, Actinopteri, Moronidae. The record is from the annotation of a RefSeq genome assembly.
UUAAUUUACUUACAUUGUUUACUGUAGAUAAAAUAACUCAUUUCAGUUUUGCUUAAUAUGAGUUUUUAAAAUACUAUUAUUUAAAAGCAUCAUGUGCAUUUGACCAUUUAAUAACUGAUAUAAAACUGUGAAACAAAUGACUUUGUUACAAGGUGACUGUAAUAGUUUCGCUGUCAGGUGUAGAAAAGUAAAACAAAAUUAAAGAAAGAACCUUAAAUUGUACAAUAAUUUCAAUCCAAAUAAUUAGAAAAACAUUGUAAAUUUAAUAAAUUAUAUUCUUUCUGUGUUAUUAGUAAGAUCAGAGAGUGUUUUCAGUGGAUAGAUGCUUGUUCACAGUGCAGGAGGUUUUUGUACAGCCACUUAAUGAGUUUGUAUCACUGUGGUGGACUUUUGGUGGAGGAACCAAACUCAUCAUACACUCUGGCCCCAUGGUCAGGCCCUCAGUGUCUCUGCUUCCCCCCUCCUCUGAGGAGCUCUCUGGGGGCUCGGCCACGCUGGCCUGCCUGCUGACCGGCUACUCUCCUCAGGGAGCCGUGGUGAGCUGGGAGGUGGACGGUACGGAGGUGACAGAGGGGGUCCUGACCAGCUCAGAGGAGGAGAAGAGCGGACGCUACAGCAGCAGCAGCACCCUGAGCCUGAGCCAGGAGCGCUGGAUGAUAGGAGAGCUGUACUCCUGCAAGGUCCUCCAUCAUGACCACAGCCAGACCCAGUCCCUCCACAGGAGCCAGUGUGAGGGCUAGAGGGGCUCACUGAAUCCCAGGACAGGAGCUCUGUGUGGGGGGAGCAGGAGGAACAAACCUGCUGCUCUGAUCAAUAUGAGUUUUAAUGUUUGUAGAGGAAACUAAAGCUUUGUGUGACAGAGAACAACACUGCUGUAAAGUGUUGGACAACAACAACUUAGAGAGUAAUGUGUGUAGCUCAGCAGCUAGAUGUGAGUGUGCUUAAUAACUGUCAUGUUGAUGAUUGAUGUUUUUGCUAAUAAAGCUUGAACUGAUAAGUAA